AGUAAUCUCUGCAGACCACAAUAUUUGUUGACAAGAACGAAUCACUGAACACGUUUAAAUAAAAGAACGCCGUAAGGUCACUUCCGGUGUAGACCGGCAUUUUCUGUCAUCUAUUUUCGCGACUUGUCAAAAUGUCGAUCCGUGACAUAAACGGGCGUUUCCAGUAAGUUAAAGUGAAAUAAACAGUAAUUUAGACCACGACUACACUUCGGGAGUUUAUAUAAACGCAGAGAAACAAUGUCCAGAGAAGAACGUAACCAGUGAUCCUAGUUUGAAGGCUAAUUCAGUAAUUGAACUUUGUGUUUUGUUGGAGAAGUUACGGUUUUGAAAGACUGUGUUUAAGAGAAAGAUUGAUAUAAUUGUAAUUGUUGAUCAUAUUUAUGUGACUGGAGUUAAUGAUAAAAGUCAACUAUUGGACGGAAGUGCUGAUAAUUACAAAGAAAACUAUUAGUGAAAAUACUGUCGCGGUCGCUGGAUUGUCGAAUUCGGACGCUGAUUGACAAUUCAGAUGGAAAUAAAAAAGGCAAGGUGAGGAGGGAAUUAUCGGGGGCAGUAACUGUGUAAAACCGUCGAAAAGGCAUGUCAGUAGCUCAGGAUACUUCAUGGCAUAAACUGGGUUUCGGCAGUCUAAAAUCACACACAUUCUUGAUGUCCAAGCAAAAGUAUGGAGGGCAGAUAGUGAAGUAGGUCAUGUCUCAUCGUAUCUGUGAAACAUAUCUGUGAAACGUGCCAGUGGCGGCAAAGAAACCAGACCGGCCAGGUUGCAAGUGCACAUGACUGUCCACAAGUUGAGGAGUGCAAAAACAAUUUUCUUUUGCUAAAAUGUUUUACUUUGUAUAAUGUUUUUGCAUAAAUUUUUGUAAGGCGUGCACUUUAGCCGUCACAUCUUUUAUUGACCCAAACUUGUUUUUAAUGACCGACAGAAAAAUGUUAUACAGCCUUCGGUCAAGUAAUCUUCAUGUCGAUAGAUGGACUUCAGUAUGUGGCUUGUAUGCCAAACUUGAAAGGUCACAGUAUUUUCAAGUAGUGUGUGCCAUUUUCAGGACCAUCAUGGUCCCCUAGUUGGAAAGUCGAAGAAUAAUUAACAUUAUUGCAUAUUUUAUGUAAAUGAACAUUUAACACCAUGGGAAUACUGAAAUGAAAAUAAAAGUAACUUUGCC
Molecule: long non-coding RNA, 1160 nt
Organism: Dreissena polymorpha
Lineage: Eukaryota; Metazoa; Mollusca; Bivalvia; Myida; Dreissenidae
Exons: 3
Source: RefSeq, a predicted model, not a curated record